Molecule: ribosomal RNA, 231 nt
Filed under: uncultured bacterium
Lineage: Bacteria
Description: partial 16S ribosomal RNA
Rfam family: Bacterial small subunit ribosomal RNA
Source: RNAcentral
CGGGGUGGAGUAAUGUCUGGGAAACGUGCCUGAUGGAGGGGGAUAGCUACUGGAAACGGUAGCUAAUACCGCAUAACGUCGCAAGACCAAAGAGGGGGACCUUCGGGCCUCUUGCCAUCGGAUGUGCCCAGAUGGGAUUAGCUAGUAGGUGGGGUAACGGCUCACCUAGGCGACGAUCCCUAGCUGGUCUGAGAGGAUGACCAGCCACACUGGAACUGAGACACGGUCCAG